AACGAACGCUGGCGGCAUGCCUAACACAUGCAAGUCGAACGAGACCUUCGGGUCUAGUGGCGCACGGGUGCGUAACGCGUGGGAACCUGCCCUUAGGUUCGGAAUAACUCCCCGAAAGGGGUGCUAAUACCGGAUAAUGUCUUCGGACCAAAGAUUUAUCGCCUUUGGAUGGGCCCGCGUUGGAUUAGCUAGUUGGUAGGGUAAAAGCCUACCAAGGCGACGAUCCAUAGCUGGUCUGAGAGGAUGAUCAACCACACUGGGACUGAGACACGGCCCAGACUCCUACGGGAGGCAGCAGUGGAGAAUAUUGGACAAUGGGCGAAAGCCUGAUCCAGCAAUGCCGCGUGAGUGAUGAAGGCCUUAGGGUUGUAAAGCUCUUUUACCCGGGAUGAUAAUGACAGUACCGGGAGAAUAAGCUCCGGCUAACUCCGUG
Molecule: ribosomal RNA, 433 nt
Filed under: uncultured bacterium
Lineage: Bacteria
Description: partial 16S ribosomal RNA
Rfam family: Bacterial small subunit ribosomal RNA
Source: RNAcentral